RNAcentral lists this ribosomal RNA (253 nucleotides) under uncultured bacterium. RNAcentral's name for it is "partial 16S ribosomal RNA". It matches the Rfam family "Bacterial small subunit ribosomal RNA", at positions 524 to 776 of the family's 1533-position model. The record is from RNAcentral.
GACAGAGGGUGCAAACGUUGUUCGGAAUCACUGGGCGUAAAGCGUGUGUAGGCGGCUUCUCAAGUCGGGUGUGAAAUCCCAGGGCUCAACCCUGGAAGUGCAUUCGAAACUGGGUAGCUAGAGUACUGGAGAGGAAGGUGGAAUGCUUGGUGUAGAGGUGAAAUUCGUAGAUAUCAAGCGGAACACCGGUGGCGAAGGCGGCCUUCUGGACAGUAACUGACGCUGAGACGCGAAAGCGUGGGGAGCAAACAGG